Molecule: unclassified non-coding RNA, 379 nt
Filed under: uncultured Pseudomonadota bacterium
Lineage: Bacteria; Pseudomonadati; Pseudomonadota
Description: uncultured proteobacterium contains 16S-23S intergenic spacer region
Source: RNAcentral
UCUGGCUUGUCACCGGCAGUUUCCGCAGAGUGCCCAGCGCUACCUGAUGGCAACUGCGGAUGGGGGUUGCGCUCGUUGCGGGACUUAACCCAACAUCUCACGACACGAGCUGACGGCAGCCAUGCAGCACCUAACCGCAGGUUCUCCGAAGAGCACCCUCGUCUUUCGACAAGGCUCCUACGUUUUCUAGCCCAGGUAAGGUUCUUCGCGUUGCGUCGAAUUAAAUCACAUGCUCCACCGCUUGUGCGGGCCCCCGUCAAUUCCUUUGAGUUUUAAUCUUGCGACCGUACUCCCCAGGCGGAGAGCUUAAUGCGUUAGCUGCGCCACUGAAGGGUAAACCCUCCAACGGCUAGCUCUCAUAGUUUACGGCGUGGACUAC